UAUCACCUUUCAUUGUAGAUCGAAUAGGCAUGCGUAAUAAAACAUAAUGUGAUGCUUGAGUAGCGACAUAUGAAUAUUCCUCAUAAAUUAUUUUCCUUUAUUAGGCAUGCCUAUUCGAUUUACAAUGAAAGGUGAUA
This is a non-coding RNA of Paramuricea clavata, 137 nucleotides long. The record is from the annotation of a GenBank genome assembly. Lineage: Eukaryota; Metazoa; Cnidaria; Anthozoa; Malacalcyonacea; Plexauridae.